This 253-nucleotide ribosomal RNA is filed under the name uncultured bacterium. RNAcentral describes it as "partial 16S ribosomal RNA". It matches the Rfam family "Bacterial small subunit ribosomal RNA", at positions 524 to 776 of the family's 1533-position model. The record is from RNAcentral.
UACGAAGGGGGCUAGCGUUGUUCGGAAUUACUGGGCGUAAAGGGCGCGUAGGCGGCUGUGCAAGUCAGGUGUGAAAGCCCUGGGCUCAACCCAGGAUGUGCACUUGAUACUGCACGGCUAGAGUGUCGGAGAGGAUGGUGGAAUUCCCAGUGUAGAGGUGAAAUUCGUAGAUAUUGGGAAGAACACCGAUGGCGAAGGCAGAUCUCUGGGCCUUACCUGACGCUGAGGAGCGAAAGCUGGGGGAGCGAACAGG